This 495-nucleotide ribosomal RNA is filed under the name uncultured bacterium. RNAcentral's name for it is "partial 16S ribosomal RNA". It matches the Rfam family "Bacterial small subunit ribosomal RNA", at positions 28 to 507 of the family's 1533-position model. The record is from RNAcentral.
GACGAACGCUGGCGGCGUGCCUAAUACAUGCAAGUAGAACGCUGAAGGAGGAGCUUGCUUCUCUGGAUGAGUUGCGAACGGGUGAGUAACGCGUAGGUAACCUGCCUGGUAGCGGGGGAUAACUAUUGGAAACGAUAGCUAAUACCGCAUAAGAGUAGAUGUUGCAUGACAUUUGCUUAAAAGGUGCAAUUGCAUCACUACCAGAUGGACCUGCGUUGUAUUAUCUAGUUGGUGGGGUAACGGCUUACCAAGGCGACGAUACAUAGCCGACCUGAGAGGGGGGACGGCCAAACUGGGACUGAGGCACGGCCCAGACUCCUAAGGGAGGGAGCAGUAGGGAAUCUUCGGCAAUGGACGGAAGUCUGACCGAGGAAAGCCGGGUGAGUGAAGGAGGGUUUCGGAUCGUAAAGGUCUGUUGUAAGAGAAGAACGAGUGUGAGAGUGGAAAGUUCACGCUGUGACGGUAUCUUACCAGAAAGGGACGGCUAACUACGUG